AGAAGAUUGUUGUAGCCAAAUAAUUGCUCUGGCCGAGGCGCUCCUUAGUGAGUUUCUAAGAAGGGGUGGUGCCCUGAAUCAAUCAAAAAGAUUAUUGAUUUAAUUGAAGGAACUAAGACUCUCACAUGAAGGGCUUGAAUCACUAAAAUAUAACGGGGGAUGGAAAAAACAAAGCCACCAAUGAAGUAACCUUUUCCCAGUCAUUUUUGCUCUAUUACUAUAUUUGCUUGAUGUUUCAGUGUCUUUUAUUUAGAACAUUCUAUUUUAUGGAAUUUCUAUAAUAUCCAUGAUAACAUCUGUGUCUUCGGACGAACUAAAUUUUUACCUGAUUUGAUAUGUUCUUUGGUCUCAUUUUUAAUUGAUUAGGUAUGUUCUUUAAGUUUAUUUUCUCAUGGUACAUAGCUUCAUCUUUUUAAUUUAUCAGAUUCUAUUUCCAUCUCCAUGACUUAACAUUGGGCUCAUUUUGUGCAAUCUCUGACAAUUUUUUGACAGAAGAAACUGGGGUUUCGCCUAAUGUACUUUGCAUCUCCAAUUAUGCUCCACUAAGUUUCAGGUAUGUGCUCAAGACAGCAGUAAGUUCUUUUGGAUUUAGGCACUUCCGAGUCAAUUACAUCAGUUUCCCAUUAACAGAAGAGAUAGAAACACAGCAAGGUAGUACUGAUUAUUCCUUUACUAAAUCCAAAAUAAAAAAAGUGUCUUUUUGUCAAGUCAUAUAUCCAUUUUGAUGUUAUAUUGUUUUGGUCAGGAGACAAAUUUGCUACAUGCAUGUAAAACCAAUCUUUCCAUGAGACAUGUAUCUUCAAUUUAGGAAAGACUUUCUAAGAUAUUAACUUAUUGAAAUAGUCCGGGAGCUUUGGAAAAUAUUAGAUAUCUAAGGUGGCACCAUAAAGAUACUUCUGAAAUACAAUUAGAAUGAGAUUACUAAUAGAUCGGUUCUUGCUCUGUUUUUCUACAAUUAGUUCAUUUUUUAAUGGUCUUCUCUCUUACUUGAUUGAUUUGACUGAGCUACAAUGGAAGGAAUGAAUUGGCUGAAAAAUCAUUCGUCAGUCCUACAGCUGUAUCAUAAUGGGUUGGCCUAUCACCUGCUCUAAAUCCAGGGGUUGCAGAACAGUAGUAAUACUUUAAUUUUAUGUUUGUAUAUUUGAUCUUGCAGAUAUUAAAAAUGGAAUCAAGUGCAUUCCUAAGUUUUUUAUCUUCUUUAGUAUUUCGCUUCAUCUUCGCAGGCUACUCAGGGGCGGAUUUCAGCUAAAUUAUCUGCUUUCAAUUCACCCUGCAUCUUCUUCAUUGUUUAGUUUUAGCAAAUCCUUUCUUACUUGGUAGUUUAAUUUAUAACCUUACUUUUCCUUGCCAAAUUCGUUUUGGUAGAUAUAUUAAC
This is a long non-coding RNA of Lycium ferocissimum, 1375 nucleotides long. RefSeq lists it as uncharacterized. The transcript has 3 exons. NCBI's taxonomy places the organism in Eukaryota, Viridiplantae, Streptophyta, Magnoliopsida, Solanales, Solanaceae. The record is from RefSeq and is a predicted model, not a curated record.